This 428-nucleotide ribosomal RNA is filed under the name uncultured bacterium. RNAcentral describes it as "bacterial SSU rRNA". It matches the Rfam family "Bacterial small subunit ribosomal RNA", at positions 354 to 796 of the family's 1533-position model. The record is from RNAcentral.
GUGGGGAAUAUUGGACAAUGGAGGGAACUCUGAUCCAGCAAUUCUGUGUGCAUGAAGAAGGUUUUCGGAUUGUAAAGUGCUUUCAGCAGGGAAGAAGAAGAUGACGGUACCUGCAGAAGAAGCGACGGCUAAAUACGUGCCAGCAGCCGCGGUAAUACGUAUGUCGCGAGCGUUAUCCGGAAUUAUUGGGCAUAAAGGGCAUCUAGGCGGCACGACAAGUCAGGGGUGAAAACUUGCGGCUCAACUGCAAGCUUGCCUUUGAAACUGUAGUGCUAGAGUAUUGGAAAGGUGGGCGGAACUACACGAGUAGAGGUGAAAUUCGUAGAUAUGUGUAGGAAUGCCGAUGAUGAAGAUAGCUCACUGGACGAUAACUGACGCUGAAGUGCGAAAGCUAGGGGAGCGAACAGGAUUAGAAACCCUAGUAGUCC